Molecule: non-coding RNA, 3306 nt
Organism: Monodelphis domestica (gray short-tailed opossum)
Lineage: Eukaryota; Metazoa; Chordata; Mammalia; Didelphimorphia; Didelphidae
Source: RefSeq, a predicted model, not a curated record
CCAAGUCUGAGCCCCCAAGUUUCUGAAAUGAAAGAAGGAAAUUAUUCAAUAAAUUCAAAAGAACAUACCCAAAUUGUGACUUAUUCAUGAUACUUUUACAUUGUAAACAGCCCAUUCUGGUGCUUCCUGGGCUCUGAGAAUAAACAAUUCCCCAAUAAUUUAGGUUGCAACUGAAAUUCUGUCCUCUACAAGAAACCUUUCCUCUGAGAUUAUCUUCAAUAUAUCCUGUCAAUAUCUUGCUCGAACAUAGUUGUUUGCAUGUUGUCUUCCCCAUUAGACUGUGAGCUCCUUGAGGGCAGGGGCUAUUAUUUUCUUUUGUUUUUCUUUUGGUUGGCUUUUUGACUUUUCUUUCUAUCCUCAGCAUCCAGCAGAGGGCUAGGCACAUAGUAAAGACUUUAAAAGGUUAUUUCAUUCAUUCAUUUACUUAAAAGAACAAACAAAACCAAAUCCUUACCUUCUGUCUCAGAAUCAAUACUAAGUAUUAGUUCCUAGGCAGAAAAAGUGAUAAGGGCUAGGCAAUGAGGGUUAAGUGACUUGUCCAGGGUCAUACAACUGGGAAGUAUCUGAGGUCAUAUCUGAAGCCAGGGCCACCCAUUUCCAGACCUGGCCCUCUAUCCCCUGAGCCACCCAGCUGUCCCUAUUCAUUCACCUUUGAAAUCCACGGUCACUGGAUGUUUAUCAUCAUUACACUCAUGAAAAGAUUCCCUUUCCUAAAAAUUUGAAACCUUUAAGGAGAAAGAUGAAAGGAUAAAGAGGGAUGAAAUGAUUCUAGCCAUGCUAAAAUUGGGAUCCAAUCACCAGGGAUGUUACAAAUGGCAUAGACUCCAGAUAAAUUCUGGACCCUCAAGUCUACAAAUUGUUGCAAUCAAUUUAAAAAUAAGAGAUGAGGCAAUUUUAAAAAGAUAGAAAUGAUCCUUAUUUGCAUAAUGGAAAUGAAAUUCAAAACAUUAGUAGAUUAGUAAUAAUUUGCCUAAAAUAAUGGCAUGACUUGUGGAUGAUUCCAAGCCAUGAAUGUUUUGGCCAUAAUGCUUCUUUCAAGGUCCCAUUGCACUUGACUGUCAGUGGUAAGCCAUUGGUUGGCAUUUAAAGUACUUGACAAUCUGGCUCCAACCUACUUCCCAAAGCUUACUUCACAUUUUGAGCCCACCUGUUAUUCCAUUUGAUGACCCUGAAUCCUGAUGCUUUUGUAUAAAUUAUUCCCCAUGCCUGGAACGCUCUCCUCCUCCCCUCCAUGCUCCAUUCAGUGCUCCACUCAUGUUCCACCUCUUUCAUGGAGUCCUUUCUAAUCUGGGAAAUAAUGUGUUCUCCCUUUGCCAAAUUAUAUUGGCUCCCCCUCUACAGGCAUCGAAUGUAAGUUCCUUGAGGGCAGGAAAUGGUUUCAUUUUUGUCACAGUAUCUCCAGGGUCCAGAGCGAUGCUAGGCACUUGGAAGGAAUCAAUUCAUCAAAGAGGGAAUGGUAGGCAAGGAGCCACACUCUCUUUCUUAACUAAAGAUAUAGUCUCCCUUCCUUGACCUCACUCUUUCCUUCAAAAAGCUAUUUUAUCGAAGAGACCACAAACGUCUCGUCUCCUCUCUCACCUCCUAGUCUAAGCUCUGGGGAUGCUUCCUAAAUGGGAAACAGAAGUCAGGCAGGAAAUUCUUGGUUCACCCUGAAACUGGAGGCAGACAACAAGGGAAGUCAUCAAACAAAAACAAAUAGACAUCCAGGAAUCUGGUACUUUCUGGGGAAAGAGAGAGAAGGGAAAAGUGGGACAAGAAACAGUAAGGGUCAUCAUCUCUCCAGCAGGAGUGUGACUUCAGAUCAGUGGAAUUAUCUCCCAGAAAAGUGGCCCUCAGGAGCCAGGAUUGGGCUUUCUGCCUCAAAACAGAGAAGUGAGAAGAGACAAUUGGAGCUAGGUAUAGGAGAACUUCAGAGGAGGAGAGAGCUAGAGAAGCAUGGACAACGAGACCAAUCUGGGAAGAGAAGGGACAACAAUGAUGGAGUUUUGGAUUUGACUGACUUUAUUCCACUUGAUGCUCAGGAGGACUGAGAUGGGAAAUCAAUCAAUGAGAAUUUAUCUUGAGCCUACUAUGGCCCAUGUACUGUGAAAGGCACUGGAGAAACAAAAACAAAAGGGAAACAUUUCCAAGAAAAUAUGCAUACAGGAUCAAAGGAUUCUAGUAUGAUGGAAGGCACGGACCUGAAAUCCCAUCUAGUCUCCCCUUCAUCUUAUACCUGAGUAAACUGAACUCUGGAGAAGCUAAUAGAAGGCCUGGAAUUUUAGAAUUCCUUGAAGGACCAAGCUACAUCAAUGGACACAUUGGAGAUAUUAUGAUGAAAAAUUCUAUUUCAAAGUAAAAUUAUAUCUGUGUGUAAUUAUUUGUGCCUAAAAGACCUUUGGACAGAUGGGAUAAAUUAUUUUUAAAAAUUGGCAACAAUUUUCACGUCUGGUCCUUUUAUUAAUUGAAUUGCCUAAGGUCAUAUUGGAGGCAGGAUUUGAACCCAGGUCUUCUGCCUCCUGAGUCAGUGCUUCUUCAAUAUGUUCUGGGAAUAUACACACAAAAGUGAGACCAUACCAAGCCUCAAGGAGAUGACUUUCUACUAGGGAGCUUCAACAUGUCAAGAGACAAGAAGAAAUAAGAUGUAGGAAUGGAGGAUAGAGAUUGGACCUGUGAUUUCACUGGCAUAGGGAAUUCCUAGGUGAGUAAAUGCUCUACUAAUGCAGAUUUCUUUGUCACUUAUAUUCUUAGAAAAUUGCCUAGAGUACAGAGAAGCUAAAUAACUUGCCUAAGGUCACAUAACCAGUAUGGGGAAGAGGUAAGACUUGAAUCCAAGUCUUACUGACUCUAAAACCCACUGCUUCCCAUACAAGAUAUACCCAAAAUAAACAGAAAGUGAUUUGGGCACUAACACCUGGAUGAUCAGGAGAGGUUCCUUUCACCUUCAAAUCUGUGAUCCAGUGAUCACAUACAUUGUACUUUACUUAAAGAAAGAUGAGGAUAACACAGAGAAUUCUGCAUAUAGAAAUUUUGGUUCUUAAAGGGUCUCUGGAAUUAGCCAUUCUAUUGAUCAAUGGAUAAAUUCUCUCAACAUAGCCAGAAGAGGAAGAAAAGCACCUCUGUUUAUAAGGCUUGUGUAGAAGUUUUCAGAGGUACCCAGUAAACCAAUAACUGUUAGCAAAAUAUUAAGUCUGGCCCUUCUUCCUCUUAUUACCUCUUUCCCAACUCCUCCCUAUUCCUACCUCCCCAGGGAGUCAUCUCCCUUAAACUGGUUCCUGACCAUCCUAAGCUCCAACUAGCCCUGCCCACUCUUUUCUGGAGCCAAAA